This 467-nucleotide ribosomal RNA is filed under the name uncultured bacterium. RNAcentral's name for it is "partial 16S ribosomal RNA". It matches the Rfam family "Bacterial small subunit ribosomal RNA", at positions 28 to 507 of the family's 1533-position model. The record is from RNAcentral.
GACGAACGCUGGCGGCGUGCUUAACACAUGCAAGUCGAACGGAAAUUCCCUGCUUUUGUGGGUUGCUCGAGUGGCGAACGGGUGAGUAAGACGUGAGUAAUCUGCCCUGGGCUUUGGGAUAACUUCAGGAAACUGGCGCUAAUACCUGAUUGGAGCUCCUGCUGCAUGGUGGGGUUGGAAAGUUUCGGCGGUGGGGGAUUGACUCGCGGCUUAUCAGAUUGUUGGUGGGGUAGUGGCUUACCAAGGCAUUGGCCGGUAGCCGGCCUGAGAGGGUGACCGGCCCCAUCGGGAGUGAGAUGCGGCCCAGACUCCUCCGGGAGGCAGCAGUGGGGAAUAUUGUACUAUGGGCGGAAGCAUACUGCAGCAACGCCGCGUGCGGGGUGACGGCCUUCAGGUCGUAAGCCGCUUUCGCCUGUGACGACGCGUGAGUGACGGUACUGGGUAAAGAAGCACCGGCUAACUACGUG